GGGGGCGAUUUGGAUUCGACGACGGAUACAAACCCUUAGGUGCAUGCCGUGAUGGCAGCCAAUCACGUAAAUCAAAAGCUGUAAACUUAUAGUUGCCAACGACGACAACUACGGUGCCCAACUGGCUGCGUAAGCAGUCACAAAAGCACUUCUAGUGGCUUCGGCCCUAGCGGUCUUUAGCAAGGUUCCAGCCCCGCGCUACUGACUGUCAUAUAGAACUGGAUCGCAGCAGGGUUUGUUCUGGGCCAUGCAGCUAAAUUUGAACAGAACUCGCCAAGUACGUCCUGCCCGUUGGGCUGUAUGCGGUUAAAUUAAUUAACGGAAUCUAAGCAUGUAGAGCCGAAGGCAGCGGUCUGGCGGACGCGGGUUCGAGACCCGCCGCCUCCACCA
Molecule: transfer-messenger RNA, 390 nt
Filed under: Pseudohalioglobus lutimaris
Lineage: Bacteria; Pseudomonadati; Pseudomonadota; Gammaproteobacteria; Cellvibrionales; Halieaceae
Description: Halioglobus lutimaris Standard tmRNA
Rfam family: transfer-messenger RNA
About the family: Bacterial tmRNA, also known as 10Sa RNA or SsrA, is named for its dual tRNA and mRNA-like properties. Its role is to liberate the mRNA from a stalled ribosome.
Source: Rfam by way of RNAcentral